ACACACACACACACACACACACACACAGCUUCACUAUAGCAGUCAGCCUGCACUGCACAUCACGGUGAAACACGGUACAUGUAGGAGCUGAAGUAAUCUGAUGAAAAACACACGCAAUGGCCGACGGAAGU
Molecule: long non-coding RNA, 131 nt
Organism: Sinocyclocheilus anshuiensis
Lineage: Eukaryota; Metazoa; Chordata; Actinopteri; Cypriniformes; Cyprinidae
Exons: 3
Source: RefSeq, a predicted model, not a curated record